AAAAUAAUAGAAUAGAAUAGAAUAGAAUAGAAUAGAAUAGAAUAGAAUAGAAUAGAAUAGACAACAUUCUUAAUUGUCACUGUAACAUGACUGAUGAAACUCAGUUUA
Sphaeramia orbicularis (orbiculate cardinalfish) is the source of this 108-nucleotide long non-coding RNA. RefSeq lists it as uncharacterized. The transcript is spliced from 3 exons. The record is from RefSeq and is a predicted model, not a curated record. NCBI's taxonomy places the organism in Eukaryota, Metazoa, Chordata, Actinopteri, Kurtiformes, Apogonidae.